CAGUCGCCGCGGUAAUACGUAGGUGGCAAGCGUUGCCCGGAAUUAUUGGGCGUAAAGCGCGCGCAGGCGGAUAGGUCAGUCUGUCUUAAAAGUUCGGGGCUUAACCCCGUGAUGGGAUGGAAACUGCCAAUCUAGAGUAUCGGAGAGGAAAGUGGAAUUCCUAGUGUAGCGGUGAAAUGCGUAGAUAUUAGGAAGAACACCAGUGGCGAAGGCGACUUUCUGGACGAAAACUGACGCUGGGGCGCGAAAGCCAGGGGAGCGAACGGGAUUAGAUACCCCCGUAGUCCCUGUCUCUUAUACA
This 301-nucleotide ribosomal RNA is filed under the name uncultured bacterium. Its description in RNAcentral is "partial 16S ribosomal RNA". It matches the Rfam family "Bacterial small subunit ribosomal RNA", at positions 509 to 809 of the family's 1533-position model. The record is from RNAcentral.